UCUCUUCAUUGGUCCACAGUCUCCCAAGAAGGCGUUAUUUCCAAAUCCAUGUGCUUUGAGGUUACUUCCAGUCACAAACAAAAUCCUACCACGUGUAUGUCAAUACUUUUCAAGUUAGGGACUUUUGGACCUAAAGGUUCAAUAUG
Molecule: long non-coding RNA, 146 nt
Organism: Etheostoma spectabile (orangethroat darter)
Lineage: Eukaryota; Metazoa; Chordata; Actinopteri; Perciformes; Percidae
Exons: 3
Source: RefSeq, a predicted model, not a curated record